AAUCUUGAACAAUGGGGGCAACCGUGAUCCAGAAGGCCCGCGUGAGCGUAAAGGCCUUAGGGUGGUAAAGCUCUUUCGCCUGUGAAGAUAAUUGAAGGUACAGGUAAAGAAUCCCUGGGAAAUCCCGUGCCAGCAGCGCGGUAAUACGGAGGGGGUCAACGUUGUUCGGAAUUACUGGGCGUAAAGCGCACGUAGGCGGACUGGAAAGUUGGGGGGAAAUCCCAGGGCUCAACCCUGGAACUGCCUCCAAAACUAUCAGUCUAGAGUUCGAGAGAGGUGAAUCAAUUCCGAUUGUAGAGGUGAAAUUCGUAGAUAUUCGGAGGAACACCAGUGGCGAAGGCGGCUCUCAGGCUUGAUACUGAGGCUGAGGUCGAAAGUCGGGGAGCAAACAGGAUAAGAUACCCCUUUAGUGCACACCGUG
This 421-nucleotide ribosomal RNA is filed under the name uncultured marine bacterium. RNAcentral describes it as "bacterial SSU rRNA". It matches the Rfam family "Bacterial small subunit ribosomal RNA", at positions 360 to 804 of the family's 1533-position model. The record is from RNAcentral.